GGCCAGUUAGCUCAGACAGUUGAGCAUGGUGCUAACAAUCCCAAGGUCAUGGGUUCGAUUCCCAUUCAGUCCC
This 73-nucleotide transfer RNA is filed under the name Apaloderma vittatum (bar-tailed trogon). It matches the Rfam family "tRNA". From Rfam's summary of the family: Transfer RNA (tRNA) molecules are approximately 80 nucleotides in length. Their secondary structure includes four short double-helical elements and three loops (D, anti-codon, and T loops). The record is from Rfam by way of RNAcentral. Lineage: Eukaryota; Metazoa; Chordata; Aves; Trogoniformes; Trogonidae.